Molecule: long non-coding RNA, 830 nt
Organism: Pogoniulus pusillus (Red-fronted tinkerbird)
Lineage: Eukaryota; Metazoa; Chordata; Aves; Piciformes; Lybiidae
Exons: 3
Source: RefSeq, a predicted model, not a curated record
CAGCAUCACCCUCCUGUUCCUGGUUCUCUUUGUUUUACCACGUGGCCAUCACCCACGAGGCGGACGAAGCCAUUUCCAUCAAAAUCUGCUCAGUCACAUGCUCCCUGUUUGGCUAAGCCAGUCUUGUGAUACAUGUACUUGUUUGCUUGAGUCUCAUCAACAAACCACAUCACCUGAGGUCAUAGAACUCAAAGGGCUGAGGCACUCAGUCCUACAGUGGAUGUAGUAGAGAUCACUCCUGCAAGGCUGAAGUCCCAGGACUCAAGAUACUUGCAGAAGAAAGUUCACUGAGCAGCACAAACAGUUUUCUUUUCCUUCCUAAAAAAUAUGAUAUUUUAGACCCAACUCAACCAAACUUCAGGAACUUCUCUGUACACAUAUUCCCAAAAUUUGUGGUUUUAACUGCAGUGAGCAGAAGGUUGUUCCAAAAACUCAUCUUUAAAUACGUGUAACAUAAACACUGCCCAGUGUGUUGUAUACAGGUAUAAUCAGCUUUCCAAACUGAGAUAGAGGCACAAGAAGAUGGCUGCUAUUGCCAGAGGACAAAACAAUCUUUGCUGCACUGAGUGGUUUUGUUCAAAAGCAGCAGAAAGAUGAACUGGAAAGAAGAUGAUACUGUUCUUCAUGAGAGAGGAAGAGAGCUCUCAUUAACUGUCACUGAAGAACAGGCAUAUAUGUAGUGAUGUUUUUAAAGUGUGCACUUUAGGCCUAGAGGAAGGCCACUUUUAUGUGUGAGAGCUUUGGAAGAGCAGAAUGCCAGUGUUUGGUCAUGCCUUCAGUGACACACAGUCGUGCAGCAUCAACUUAAUUUAAAAAAUACCCUGCACACU